AUUGAACGCUGGCGGAAUGCUUUACACAUGCAAGUCGAACGGCAGCACGGACUUCGGUCUGGUGGCGAGUGGCGAACGGGUGAGUAAUGUAUCGGAACGUGCCCAGUCGUGGGGGAUAACGUAGUGAAAAUUACGCUAAUACCGCAUACGAUCUAUGGAUGAAAGCGGGGGAUCGCAAGACCUCGCGCGAUUGGAGCGGCCGAUAUCAGAUUAGGUAGUUGGUGGGGUAAAGGCCCACCAAGCCAACGAACUGUAGCUGGUCUGAGAGGACGACCGGCCACACUGGAACUGAGCCACGGUCCAGACUCCUACGGGAGGAAGCAGUGGGGAAUUUUGGACAAUGGGCGAAAGCCUGAUCCAGCCAUUCCGCGUGCAGGAUGAAGGCCCUCGGGUUGUAAACUGCUUUUGUACAGAACGAAAAGGUUUCUACUAAUACUAGGAGCUCAUGACGGUACUGUAAGAAUAAGCACCGGCUAACUACGUGCCAGCCGCCGCCGUAA
RNAcentral lists this ribosomal RNA (500 nucleotides) under uncultured bacterium. Its description in RNAcentral is "partial 16S ribosomal RNA". It matches the Rfam family "Bacterial small subunit ribosomal RNA", at positions 30 to 523 of the family's 1533-position model. The record is from RNAcentral.